CAAAUAUAUGAUUACUUUCUCCAUGCAGCUUCCUCCUGUAUAUCUAAACCAACGUUUUUUAAUAGAAAGAUAUUUACGAUAACAUACCUCAAUACUGUUUCGCUCUCAGCUGAAUUGUUUCUGAAGGUUAGAAAUUGCCAAAGUUAUUCUCGAAGGUGUAAUCAAUCGCUUUGGAGACUUAACGUUAAUGGAGGAUCGUCGCAUUCGUUCAAUCUUCGACAGUUCCUGAUGGCCAUUAAAUUUUGUCGAAGUCUUUGGAGGUAAAUGUCAGUCUAUAUAAUAGUUUAUUAAAUAAAAACUUUAUAAUUGUAUUAUGUAUAUAUCUUGAUCAAAAAUAAAUGAACAUUUAACGUAAAAUAUGUAGCAUUAUACUAAUCAUUGUAAUUUUUAUCCCACAAAAGAUAUGAGAAUCAUUAAUCAGUUUCUAAUUAAAACAUACUUAAAUUUAGUGUAUUAAAUAUGUCAAAAUUAAUAA
This is a long non-coding RNA of Anthonomus grandis grandis, 475 nucleotides long. RefSeq lists it as uncharacterized. The transcript is spliced from 2 exons. NCBI's taxonomy places the organism in Eukaryota, Metazoa, Arthropoda, Insecta, Coleoptera, Curculionidae. The record is from RefSeq and is a predicted model, not a curated record.